AUGGUCAAGGAUUUCAAGGUAAUCUUUGGAAAGGGUCAUGGCGGACAACCUGUUCCAAAGGACGCUGACAGACGCGCACCCAUGUGGAAGAAGAAAUCUAUAUUUUGGGACCUGCCCUAUUGGAAAUACCUAGAGGUCCGCUCCGCAAUCAACGUGAUGCACGUGACGAAGAAUCUUUGCGUGACCCUGCUUGGCUUCUUGGGCGUGUAUGGGAAGACAAAAGAUACACCAGAGGCACGGGAGGACCAGCAACGUAUGCAUGGAAAAGACGGCAUACAUCAGGGUCAGGCCAGCUACGCUCUUACCAAAGAAGAGAAGGAAAUCUUCUUUGAAUGCCUGCUCAGCAUGAAGGUACCGUCUGGCUUCUCGUCGAAUAUAAAGGGAAUAAUAAAUAUGGCAGAGAAAAAGUUCCAGAACCUAAAGUCUCAUGACUGCCACGUGAUUAUGACUCAACUUCUUCCGGUUGCAUUGAGGGGGCUUCUACCGGAAAACGUUCAAUUAGCCAUUGUGAAGCUAUGUGCAUUCCUCAAUGCAAUCUCUCAGAAGGUAAUCGAUCCAGAAAUCAUACCAAGGUUACAAAAUGAUUUGGUGCAAUGUCUUGUCAGUUUCGAGUUGGUGUUCCCACCAUCCUUCUUCAACAUCAUGACGCACGUCCUAGUUCAGCUUUGCGAAGAGAUUAACAUUUUGGGUCCUGUAUUUCUACACAAUAUGUUCCCCUUUGAGAGGUUCAUGAGAGUCUUGAAGAAAUAUGUUCAUAACCGUGCUAGGACAGAAGGAAGCAUCUCGAAGGGCCAUGAAAAUGAGGAGGUCAUUGAGUUCUGUGUUGACUUUAUUCCUGACCUUAAGCCGAUUGGUGUUCUUGAAUCGCGGCAUAAAGGCAGACUGGAUGGAAAAGGCGCGCUAGAAGGGGAUCAAAUAAUAUGUAUGGAUGGGCAUUCUCUCACUGAAGCACACUACACUGUUCUACAAAAUUCCACCUUGGUGGCUCCGUAUAUGGAGGAACACAAGAAUUUUCUACACUCCAAACACCCAGAGAAGUCUGACGACUGGAUUACACGUGAACAAACAAGGACUUUCGCCGGUUGGUUGCAGAAACGUGCCAUGCAUGAUGGCGAUAUUGAAUAUGACAUGUACUCGCUGUCCCAGUUACCAUCUUCGAAUAUAAUGACUUUCAAAUGGUACCAGAUAAAUGGCAAUACAUUUUACACGAUCGCCCAAGAUAAGAAGAGCACCAACCAAAACAGUGGUGUCCGCUUUGAUGCAACAACCAACACGGGAAAGGAAACCUAUUAUGGUUACAUAGUGGACAUGUGGGAACUUAACUAUGGAGGUGGUUUGAAGGUCCCUUUGUUUCGGUGCAAAUGGGUCAAUAUGACACGAGGCGGGGUAACGGAAGACCCGCAGUAUGGAAUGACAACAGUGGAUCUCAACAAUCUUGCGUAUGCAGACGAACCAUUCUUCCUAGCCAAUGAUGUGGCACAGGUUUUUUAUGUAAAAGACAUGUCUACCAGGCCGAGAAAAAGAAAAGAUAAGGAAGCGAAUGGAUCAUACGACGAGCCAAAGCACCACAUAGUUCUUUCAGGAAAAAGAAACAUCGUGGGAGUGGAUGACAAGACAGACAUGUCAGGAGAUUAUGAAAAGUUUGAUGAAAUUGCUCCAUUCACAGUGAAUAUUGACCCGAGCAUCCGGUUAAAUGAUGAAGAUUUUCCAUGGCUACGGUGCAAAGGGACACACGCGAAGAAAAAGUUUGACACCCAAAGAUCUGGGAUGUGA
This 1773-nucleotide ribosomal RNA is filed under the name Triticum aestivum (bread wheat). RNAcentral's name for it is "partial small subunit ribosomal RNA". Lineage: Eukaryota; Viridiplantae; Streptophyta; Magnoliopsida; Poales; Poaceae. The record is from RNAcentral.